RNAcentral lists this ribosomal RNA (346 nucleotides) under Clavulina cristata. RNAcentral describes it as "SSU rRNA". It matches the Rfam family "Eukaryotic small subunit ribosomal RNA", at positions 594 to 945 of the family's 1831-position model. The record is from RNAcentral. Lineage: Eukaryota; Fungi; Basidiomycota; Agaricomycetes; Cantharellales; Hydnaceae.
AUAGCGUAUAUUAAAGUUGUUGCAGUUAAAAAGCUCGUAGUUGAACUUCAGCCCUGGCCGGGCGGUCUGCCUCACGGUAUGUACUGUCUGGCUGGGGCUUACCUUCUGGUGAGCUUGCAUGCCGUUCAUUCGGUGUGUGAGGGAACCAGGACUUUUACCUUGAGAAAAUUAGAGUGUUCAAAGCAGGCAAAUGCCCGAAUACAUUAGCAUGGCAUAAUGGAAUAGGACGUGCGGUUCUAUUUUGUUGGUUUCUAGAGUCGCCGUAAUGAUUAAUAGGGAUAGUUGGGGGCAUUAGUAUUCAGUUGCUAGAGGUGAAAUUCUUGGAUUUACUGAAGACUAACUACUG